This 312-nucleotide long non-coding RNA is filed under the name Cricetulus griseus (Chinese hamster). RNAcentral describes it as "lncRNA (ENSCGRG00015030481.1)". The record is from RNAcentral. Lineage: Eukaryota; Metazoa; Chordata; Mammalia; Rodentia; Cricetidae.
GCUGCAGAGACGGUCAGUGGUUAGGAGCACCCGCUGUUCCUACAGAGGACCUGGUUUUGGUUCCCAGAAUCCACAUCAGAGACAGGGUUUCUUGUGUAGUUUUGGAGCCUAUGCUGGCACUCGCUCUGGAGACCAGGCUGGCCUGGAACUCACAGAGAUCCCCCUGCCUCUGCUGGGAUUAAAGGGGUGCACCGCCAACGACCGGCGAGAAAAAAAUCUUAAGAUACCGGAACUCCCGCCCAACAUACAUAUUUCUAUACACAGGGCUGGUGCUGACCGAGCGCAACAUCACCGGGUGGGGGCGGGCGAGCU